This 552-nucleotide ribosomal RNA is filed under the name uncultured bacterium. RNAcentral's name for it is "bacterial SSU rRNA". It matches the Rfam family "Bacterial small subunit ribosomal RNA", at positions 35 to 596 of the family's 1533-position model. The record is from RNAcentral.
GCUGGGCGGCGUGCUUACACAUGCAAGNNNAACGAGAACGGNUACUAGCUUGCUAGUAUGUCAGCUAAGUGGCGGACGGGUGAGUAAUGUAUAGUUGAUCUGCCCCUUGGAGGGGGAUAGCCACUGGAAACGGUGAUUAAUACCCCAUAUUCCUCAUGGUGUAAAGGCCAUGAGGGAAAUGUUUUUUCGCCAAGGGAUGAGACUAUAUCGCAUCAGCUAGUUGGUAGGGUAACGGCCUACCAAGGCAAUGACGCGUAGCGGGUCUGAGAGGAUGAUCCGCCACACUGGUACUGAGACACGGACCAGACUCCUACGGGAGGCAGCAGUGAGGAAUAUUGCACAAUGGGGGAAACCCUGAUGCAGCAACGCCGCGUGGAGGAUGACGCAUUUCGGUGUGUAAACUCCUUUUAUCAGGGAAGAUAAUGACGGUACCUGAUGAAUAAGCACCGGCUAACUCCGUGCCAGCAGCCGCGGUAAUACGGGAGGGUGCAAGCGUCACUCGGAAUCACUGGGCGUAAANGACGCGUAGGCNGUUUGGGAAAGUCANAUGUG